GUAGGUGGCAAGCGUUGUCCGGAAUUAUUGGGCGUAAAGCGCGCGCAGGCGGUCCUUUAAGUCUGAUGUGAAAGCCCACGGCUCAACCGUGGAGGGUCAUUGGAAACUGGGGGGACUUGAGUACAGAAGAGGAAAGCGGAAUUCCAAGUGUAGCGGUGAAAUGCGUAGAGAUUUGGAGGAACACCAGUGGCGAAGGCGGCUUUCUGGUCUGUAACUGACGCUGAGGCGCGAAAGCGUGGGGAGCAAACAGGAUUAGAUACCCUGGUAGUCCACGCCGUAAACGAUGAGUGCUAAGUGUUAGGGGGUUUCCGCCCCCCUUAGUGCUGCAGCUAACGCAUUAAGCACUCCGCCUGGGGAGUACGGCCGCAGGCUG
This 373-nucleotide ribosomal RNA is filed under the name uncultured organism. RNAcentral's name for it is "partial 16S ribosomal RNA". It matches the Rfam family "Bacterial small subunit ribosomal RNA", at positions 527 to 896 of the family's 1533-position model. The record is from RNAcentral.